UCUUUCGUGCUUUCUGUUCACUUGCUCCGCAAUUUACGCAAAGACUCUCUUACCAUUGACUUUAUUACAAUUUCUACAAGAAAAUUCGAACUUCAAGACUAAGCAAAAAUCCUAGGAAUCAAGCUGGAAGCUACAAUGCUGUUUCAGGGAAGCACAUGAUAUACAAAUACAACCCUUAUAAGUUACAGCUUCGGCACUGACCAGGAGACUGUAAGUACUGGCCAUGGAUGCAGAAGAAGAAAGGCUAAGUAAAACCCACAUCCAUGGCCAAUUGGUAGAGAUAAACCACAAUCAGGAGAAACGAAUACGCCACGAAGAAACAAAGGCGCAGAAUCUGACAACUGGGUUUGCGGUCGUCCAAGCUUUAAUUCUCAACACAGGGGUGAUCAAUAAGCCAUCCAACAGAUGCGAACACUGGUGGGUGCCAUUCUCUCUCUCCUUAUCCGUCGGUGUGAUUUAUUUCAUCACCAUUUUUGAGGUGUUGAGGAAAUGGUACCUUCUGCUCUACCAUUUGGACGUCAACUACCUGGAGCAAGAACUUAUUCUACUGGAAAUGCAUGGGGGUGCUCCGUCCUGGCGAAAUGAUCAGCCAUUGAAGCCAGAUGUGGUGAAGCUCCUGAGGCGUAAAGCUUAUAUCACGAUACUGAUUUCUGCUAUGCUCGCCUUUCAAGCUCUGAUGCUCCACGCCUGCAGAUCCUUUCUUUGCAGCUGAAAGUAACCAUCUUCCCCUUUAAAUAAAUACUAGAAUAAAAAAAAAAAUUGUUGUUUAUUAUGCCAAAUUUCUCGAUGCCUUUGAAGAGUGUCAUGGGAAAGGCUAUUAAGAUGCAAACUACAUAAUUCAAAAUGCAUUAUAUGCAACGAAAUUAUUUACCAUGAAAUUUAUUUAUAUUGUUUUUCUUUCUAAAGUAUUCAAAAUGCAUGAUAUGCAAUCGAAAAAUUUGAGGGAAAAUAUUACAGAAAGAAAAUAGAGAGAAAAAGUAGAAUAAAAAAAUGAAAAAAAAUAAAAAAUAUAUUUAAAGUCAAUAAAUUAUUUUUAUAUUUUAUUUUAAACUCAUUUUAUUUAUUUUAACUCAUGAUAUAAAAUUAAAUAAUUUUAAAAUAUAUAAAAUUUUAAUUAAUUUUAAUUAUAUUUGAUUUGAGAAACUCAUUUUACUACACAUUUUUUUUUCCCUUUUUCAGUAGUUUUGGCAACCAAACAUUUACCUAAAAUUUUGUUAAUGCAUCUCCCUAGGUGUUUGUGCUCACAUAUUGGGCCCAAGAAUGGGUUCCUGCAACUACCAUCAGUGGGCUGGGCUGCCCAAUCAAUAACAAAAGGGCACUCACCUGGGUCUCAUGGGCCGAAAAAAAUGGAGCCCAUACACAACAGUUUUGAACCCAAACAUAAAUUUCAAGUUCAUAUAUACUUUUAAUCUCGUUUAUUCAUUCAUAUUAGAAAUCUAGAUUUAUAUUAAUUCAUUCAUGUAGAUCUAUAUAUUAGGAAUCAAAUUAGAGUGCAUAGAAACCAAAAUUAAGAGAGAGGAUUAUACCCAAGGAAGUUUUGUGUGAUACGUUGAACCGAAAGUGAUAAAAACUAAGGCUAUGUUUGGUUCCCGGAAAAUUUGAGGGAAAAUGCGAGGGAAAGAAAAUACAAAGGAAAAGUAGAAGGAAAGAAAAAGUGAAGGAAAAUAAAAAAAUAUAUAAAAAUUUGAUAAAUUAUUUUUUUUGUUACUUCAAACUCAUUUUAUUUAUUUUAACUCAUCAAUAUAAAGAUUAAAUAAUUUAAAAAUACAUAAGCUUUUAAUUAGUUUUAAUUAUAUUUGAUUUUCUUUGAUAUUUUUCAUAGGACAACCAAACAUGAGAAAAUCAUUUUCCUUAGCAUUUUUUUUCUUUCCUUUGUACUUUCCGGGAACCAAACAUAGCCUAAGACUAUGUUUAAUUCUCAAAAAGCAAUAAGGAAAGAAAAAAAAUGAAGGAAAAUUAUUUUUUCGUAUUUUAUUUUUCUAUGAAAACCUUGAAAGGAAAUAAAAUAUAAUUAAAAAUUUAUUAUAUAUUUUUAAAUUAUUAAUUUCCAUAUAAAAGAGGAACAAAAUGUCAGAUGAAUUUGAAGUAACAAAUAAAAAUAAUUUAUAAGUUUUAAAUUCAUUUUUUUAUUUUCCUUAAUUCCUUCUUUUACUUUUUCUUUCUAUUUUCUUUCCCUCACAUUUUCUCUUGGAUUUUCUAAGAACCAAACAUAAUAUAAAAAAUAUUUAAUAUAAAAAAACAAAUAAUAUAUAAAAAAACCCAAAUAAUUUGACAUGUGGUAUAUUGUUGCUAGUCAAAGUAAUGGUCGUGGGUGACUUUUAGAAGCCUCCAAUAAGAAAUGGCCAAAAAACCUAUGAGCUCGGCAUUUAUUUGAGUAUCUCGAGGACAAUAUUUUAUUUUUAAUUAUGUGUUUUAAUUCAUUGUUUUUUUUCUUUAAUAUUAUUUUAGAAAUAUGUUUAGAGAUAUGUUAAUUUUAGUGCUUAAAAAGAUUUUGAAAUAUAAAGAUUUUGAUAAUUAAAAAUUCGUUUAAAAAUGAUUUUAGGAAGCAUUUAACCUAUUUAAUCUUUAAAAUUUUUAUAAAAGAGUUGUUUUCAAGUGCUAAAAAAAUUAGAGACAUUUUAUAAAAUUACUAUUAAAUAAAUUCUAAAUAUAAUCGAGUCGUGUGACUAUAAAUUGCUAGACUUUUCCAUGUGAUUAAUCCUUGGAUACUUGGAAUUUGUUUAUGUGGGGUAGAGCUUUUGUGAGUUUGUUUGCAAUUUUCUCAUACUAGAAACAAAUGAAUGGUCAGAGAAAGGAACAUAGAAAAGAGAAGAUUGAAACACCUUCACCUGCUCCGAAGGUUCGUAUGAUCUUCAUGCCAGCCUCCAUGCCUCAUUUUCCCGCUUAUAAAAAAAGGCCACAAAAGACUUGACUGAUCUGAUAAAGCAGGGCCGGAAAAGCGAGCUCGACACGAAGAAACGAAAGCCGGCCAAUGCAGUCCGAGAGAUCACACAGCGAACUGUUCGAGUCUGGGCUUUUGUUUCUUCGUGUCGGUCUUGCUUCUGUCUCCGGCCGGAGGAACAAAAUUGUACAGACAUGGAUGGGAAGAACUCCUGUAAUAUCAAGAGUCCUUCUAUCUUUGGAUUGUUAUAAUAAUAUUAUCUUCAAAACAAAAUUUAUGCAAGUGGGGGUAUAUUUUUUAUUUUUUGUUUUUGAAAAUAGGAAGUUUUAUACAAAAUAUAAAAAAAUCUUAUAUGAAAGAUAGGUAUAAUAUUGUUAUGUUAUUUGAAAACAUUUUUUAAAAUUGACGGAAGUAAAAAAAUUUCAAUUCCAUAAAUUUUUAAAUUUUGAAAAAGUCUUUAAGAAGGGUAGGUAAGAGGAUGCUUGUUAAUGGUUAGAAAAUAGUUUUAUAUGUUUUAGAACAAAAGAAUAAUAAAAAAAAACAUGCUUAAUGAUUAGAAAACAGUUUAUACUCUUAAAAAACAAAAAAUCGGAGUGUUUUUAGAUAAUAUCUUUUAAUUUUUAAAAUUAUUUUUAUUUAUUGAAAAAUAAUCAUACAAAAUGCAGAAUGAUUAUGAGUAAAGUAUUACAUGUGAAACUUAUUUUUAAAAAAUAUUUAAAAACAUAAAAAAAAAGUUAAUAACAGUUCAAGUUUCCAAACAAACUAUUAUUUUACAAAAUAUUAUAUAAGAAUUUUAAAAAAUAGUUUUAAAAAAUACUUUUCGAACACAGUUUAAAUUUUUUUCUUUUUGUAUAAAAAUUCUUAUAUUUUGUAUAAGGGUUUUUAUUUUUAAAAAUAAAAAAAAUAAGAAAUAUAUUCAAAGAUAUUUAAUAAACAAUAAGAAUUCAAAAGAGAAAGCCUUAAAUUUUAUGUUAUUAUUGUAAAAUGAGAAUAAAUGUGACUCAAAUAAUAGUAGGGAUGACUAUGUAUUACUUUAAUAAUAUAUAUAUAUAUAGAGGGGGAGGGGGGAAGAAAUCAAAGAGAAGUGUUGAGAGAAUGAAAGAAAGAGAUAGAGAGAAUGAGAGGAAGAAAAUUUCUUUCUUUUUCUCGGGAUGCUCUUACAUGGGGUAUAAGAAGCCUUUUAUAGGAUUCAUAAUAUGAACUCCCAUUACUCAUCUUAAAGAUGAGUAAAUGGAGUUCAUAAAUGACCAUCAAUGUGGUCAUUUAUCACUUCAUUUACAACAUUCCCCCUUGGAUGACCACCUUAUUAAAAGAAUAUGUCUCAUUAAAACCUUGCUAGUAAAAAAUUUUAUAGGAAAAACCUAGCGAAGGAAAAAGAGUAUAAUAUUCUUUUCUUGGUAUAUUAGGACUGCCUCGUUAAAAACCUUGCCAAUAAAACCCAGUAGGACAAAACCUGGACGAAUGAAAAAAGAGUACAGUAUACUAACACCCUUUUACAAGCAUACUCCCUCUCAUGUCGAUAUCCUUGAGUUGACGCAUUCCAAUCAUAUAUAUUAAUUUCUUGAAUGUUGAGGUUGACAAUGAUUUUGUGAAUAAAUCUGCUAGAUUAUCACUUGAGCGUAUUUGUUGCACAUCAAUUUCACCACUCUUCUAGAGUUCAUGUGUACAAAAGAAUUUUGGUGAAAUGUGUUUAGUUCUAUCUCUUUUAAUAUAACCCCCUAUUAUUUGUGUAAUGCAUGUAGCAUUAUCUUCAAAUAAUAUUGUCGGGUCACCUUUGAUAGAGGAGAGUCCACAUGAUUCCCGAAUAUGCUGGACCAUAGAUCUUAGCCUUAUACAUUGAUGACUUGCUUCAUGAAUUGCCAGUAUUUCUGAAUGAUUUGAUGAUGUGGUCACCAUUAUUUGUUUGACAUCUUUCCAUGAAAUAGUAGUACCAUUGCAAUUAAACACAUACCCUAUUUGUGACCUACCUUUAUGUGGAUCUGAAAGAUAUCCUGCAUCUGCAUAUCCAAGCAAUUGUUGCUUUGAUUCCGUUGAGUAAAAUAAACCCAUAUCAAUAGUUCCGCAAAGAUAACAUAAUAUAUGUUUGAUACCAUUUCAAUGUCUUCGAGUUGGAGUGGAACUGUAUCUUGCUAAUAAAUUGACAGAAAAAGCAAUGUCUGGACGUGUACAAUUGGCAAGAUACAUAAGUGCACCAAUAGUACUAAGAUAUGGUACUUCAGGACCAAGUAACUCUUCAUUUUUUUCGCAAGGACGAAAUGAGUCAUUUUUCACAUCAAGUGAUCGGACAACCAUUGGAGAACUUAAAUGAUGCGCUCUAUUCAUAUAAAAGCGCUUCAAAAAUUUCUUAAUGUAUGUUGAUUGAUGUACUAAAACUCAAUUUGGAAAAUGCUCGAUCUGCAGGCCGAGAUAAAAUUUUGUUUUUCCAAGAUCUUUCAUCUCAAAUUCCUUUUUCAAGUAAUUUGUUGUUCUUGUGAGUUCUUCAGGAGUUCCAACAAGAUUUAAGUCAUCGACAUACACUGUAAUAAUUGCAAAUCCGAUUUCUGAUUUCUUAAUGAAGAUGCAUGGGCAUGUAGGGUUAUUCACAUAUCUUUUUUUUUAGCAAAUAUUCGCUAAGACGAUUGUACCACAUGCGUCCAAAUUGCUUUAAUCCAUACAAGGAUCGUUGUAACUUGAUUUAGUACAUGCUAUGAGACUUUGUACUAUUUUCUCCAGGCAAUUUAAAUCCUUUAGGGAUUUUCAUGUAUAUAUCAUUAUCCAUGGAUUCGUAUAAAUAUGCUGUAAUAACAUCCAUGAGAUGCAUAUCCAAUCCUUCUGAGACUGCCAAACUAAUUAAGAAACGAAAUGUGAUUGCAUCCAUGACAGGAGAAUAUGUUUUCUCGUAGUCAAUACUAGGUCUCUACGAGAAACCUUGUGCUACUAAUCGCGCUUUAUAUUUUAUGAUAUCAUUAUUCUCAUUGCGCUUUCGUACAAAUACCCAUUUGUACCCAAUAGGCUUUACAUCCUCAGGUGUUUGGACUACAGGUCCAAAAACUUCUCGUUUUGUUAACGAGUUUAACUCUGCUUGUAUAGUUUCUUUCCAUUUUAGCCAAUCAUUUCUAUGUCGACAUUCUUCCAUAUUUCGUAGUUCGGGAUUUUCAUCAUUUCUUAUGACUUCAUAGGCCACUUGGAAAGCAAAAAUAUUGUUAAUAACAAUAUUAUUUUGAUCCCAUUUUUCUCCCGUGUGUACAUAACUUACUAAGAUCUCACAAUUUUCAGGUACCUAUGCCUCUUUAGGGGCUUCUCGUUCAAUAUGUGGCUCUUCAUGGGCUUCUUGUUCAAUAUGUACCUCUUCAGGGGCUUUCUGUAUUAUUUAUGCCUCUUCUAGGGUUAUAAAUUUAUCAAUUUUAAAUUGAUCAGUCAUUUUGAUGACCUCUUCUAGAGUGCCAAGUUUUUCUUGGGUUCUCAUUUCUGGGAAGAUACAUUCUUUGAGCCAACAAGUUUACCACAUUUCAGGCGUAUCUUAGAUUCAUUUGUUAACUGUCCUACAGGGACAUCGAUCUGUGCUGAGUAUUUGCAGCCGGGAUAUAUGACUUUGUCACUUUCUUUGUAUUAAUGAAUGCAUAUGGUAAUUGAUUUGCAAGAUUUUGCAAAUGAAUGAUCCUUUGGAAGAUGGGUCAUAGUAGAUGCCUUCCAACUAAUUUCUCAUCGUUCUUUAGAAAUUGACUUUUCUCCCCUCUAAUGACUGGAAAACACUCUCAUUAAAAUGACAAUCCGCAAAGCGGGCAGUAAAAACAUCACCUGUUAAAGGUUCAAGAUAUCUUAUGAUAGAUGGAGAAUCAAAACCUACAUAAAUCCCAAGUCUUCGUUGGGAACCCAUUUUAGUGCGUUGUGUAGGUGCAAUUAGUACAUAAACUGCACAACCAAAGAUUUGUAAGUGAGAGAUAUUUGGUUGUUUUCCAAGCACAAGUUGUGAAGGGGAGUAUUCAUGGUAAGUUGUAGGUCAAAUACGGAUUAAAGCUGCAGCAUGCAUAAUAGCAUGUCCCUAGGCAGAAGUAGGUAAUUUGGUUCUCAUUAGUAAUGGUCGAGCUAUUAAUUGGAGAUGUUUGAUGAAGGAUUCUGCUAAACCAUUUUGGGUAUGAGUAUGAGCAACAAGAUGCUCAAUAUUUAUCCUUAUUGACAUGCAAUAGUCAAUGAAUGUUUGAGAAGUAAAUUCGCCAGCAUUAUCAAGACGUAUUGUCUUAAUUGGAUAAUCUAGAAAUUGUGCUCGUAAUCUGAUUAUUUGUGCAAGGAGUCUAGCAAAGGCAACGUUACGUGUAGAAAGGAGACAAACAUGUGACCACCUAGUAGAAGCAUAUAUUAAGAUCAUAAAAUAACGGAAUGGUCCACAUGGUGGAUGGAUAGACCCACAUAUGUCCCUAUGUAUUCUUUCUAAAAAGACUGGUGACUCAGAUUGACUUUAGUAAAAGAUGGUCUCAUUAUCAAUUUACCUUGUGAGCAGGCAACACAUGAGUAUUCAUUGGGUGAAAGAAUCUUCUAGUUCUUUAGUGGAUGUGCAUGUGAGUGUUCGAUUAUUCGACGCAUCAUUGAAGACCCUGGGUGACCUAGCCUGUCAUGCCAAAGGACAAAAACUUUUGGGUCGUUGAACUUCUGGUUCACGACAACAUAUGAUUCAAUAGGCUUUAUAGUUGUAUGAUACAACCCAGAUGAGAAAUUCGAGAGUUUUUCCAUUAUAAGCUUCUGGCCAGAUAUAAUGGAAGUAAUGUAAAUAUAUUCUAUAUUAUCUUCAUUCAUAGUUUCAAUAUGAUAUCCAUUUUUGCGGAUAUCUUUAAAACUGAGCAAAUUUCUUCUGGAUUUGCUAGAAUAUAAAGCGUCAUUUAUAUGGAAUCUAGUUCCAUUUGGCAACGUUAUGUUUGCUCUUCCAGAACCUUCAACUAAGUUUGUAGUACCAGAUAUGGUACUUACAUUAGCUUUUAUUAAUGUCAAUUCAAGAAAAUAUCUUUUAUCUAGAAGAAUUGUAUGCGUGGUCGCACAGUCUACGAGACAUACAUCAUCCUCAUUCAUCUUGAGACCAAAUAACACAUGGAUUUCAGAUAUAACAAAAUAAAACAAGGCAUAAUGUAAAUAACAAAGUAAAUCAGAUGUAAAUAUAAGACAUAAUAAUAUAUUAUUUCAUAUAUAAAGUAACAUCAAUCAAUGUUAAUUUUCUCAUCAUUUAUCAAAUGGUCUGUUUUUUCAUUGGGACCUCCAAAGAAAUCAAUGUUAUAGUAGGUUAGGUCUAAUCCAUCACCAUCGGUAAAGUUCAUCUCUAUCUCUUUUCUUUUUGCUUUUAUUGAUGCUUGGUAAAGGUCGACUAAAUGUUUGGGCAUACGACAGGUACGCGACCAAUGCCCCUUCAUACCACAUCUAUAACAAUUAUUCUCGUGGUUCUUAGGAGGUUUAUCUUGUAAAUACUUCCCAUUUUAUUGUAUUGUCUCAGUAUUGUUCCAUUUCUGGUGGUGCAAUGAGGCUUUCAUUUUCUGAGAAUUAUUACUAUAAGAACCAUGGUAUCGGGGAUUUCUUCCACGAUCACGACCACGUCCACGAGUUUGGGACGAUAUUGCAUUGUUCAGAUCUAGUUGGACGAGAUUGGUGAUUUCUCAUCAAAAUCUCAUUAUUUUGUUUAGCAACAAGAAGACAUGAUAUUAAUUCAGAAUAUUUUGUAAAUCUACGCUCUCGUUAUUGCUGCUACAAGAGCACAUUCGAGGUAUGAAACGUAGUAAAAGUUUUCUCUAACAUGUCUUCUUCUGUGAUUUUUUCUCCACACAGCUUUAAUUGAGAGUUGAUUUUGAAAAGUGCGGAGUUGUAUUCACUAACAGUUUUAAAAUCUUGCAACCUUAGGUGCAUUCAAUCAUAUCGAGCUUUUGGGAGAAUCACAGUUUUCUGGUGGUCAUAUAUUUCCUUCAAAUUACUCCAUAGAGUAAAAAAGUCCUUUACCAUAAGAUACUCAUUUUUUAAAGCUUCAUGGAAGUGAUGGCGAAGGAAAAUCAAUGCUUUUGCGCGAUUCUGCAGGGAUGCUUGAUUUCUUUCUUUGAUUGUAGCUCCAAGGUUCAUUGCAUCAAGAUGUAAUUCAGCAUCAAGGAUCCAAGAUGGAUAGUUCUUUCCCAAAAUGUCAAGUGCCACAAAUUCGAGUUUUGUGAUAGUCGACAUUGUCAAAUAACUUCAUAUAUAUGACAAAACAAUAUUAUUAGAAUCAAUUAUAAUAACUUGAUAGCAUUGGUAUAACUUUGAUUAUAAACAAAAUCAAAUAAUUUGUUUAUAACUUUUAACAAUAUGUAACAAAACAAAUCAACAAUAAUAUAACUAUGUAAAAUUUUAUCCUAUAUAAAUAACUUCAGGUUUAAGAUACGAGAAUUACCUUCAAAGCAAUUCGUGCUGAUAACGUGUUGUAAAAGGAGAAUAAAUGUGACUCAAAUAAUAGUAGGGAUGACUAUGUAUUACUUUAAUAAUAUAUAUAUAUAUAUAUAUAGAGGGAGGAGGAGGAGGAGGAGGAGGAGGAGGGGGGAGGGGGGGGGGGGGGGACCAAAACAAAAAAAAAUGUUGGGAAAAUGAAAAAAAAAAAGAGAAAGAAUGGGAGGAAAAAAAUUUUUUUUUUUUUUUCAGGAUGCUCUAACAUGGGGGGGAAAAAGCCUUUUAUAGGUUUUCUAAUAAGAACUCCCCUUACUCCUCUUAAAAAUGAGUAAAUGGAGUUCAUAAAAGACCCUCAAUGUGGUCCUUCCUCACUUCCUUUUCAACAAUUAUUAAUUUUUUGUAUUACUUAAAAGGGNNNNNNNNNNNNNNNNNNNNNNNNNNNNNNNNNNNNNNNNNNNNNNNNNNNNNNNNNNNNNNNNNNNNNNNNNNNNNNNNNNNNNNNNNNNNNNNNNNNNGGGAGGGGGGGGGGGGGGGACGAAAUCAAAGAGAAGUGUUGAGAAAAUGAAAGAAAAAGAGAGAGAGAAUGAGAGGAAGAAAAUUUCUUUCUUUUUCUCAGGAUGCUCUAACAUGGGGUGUAAGAAGCCUUUUAUAGGUUUCAUAAUAUGAACUCCCAUUACUCAUCUUAAAGAUGAGUAAAUGGAGUUCAUAAAUGACCAUCAAUGUGGUCAUUCAUCACUUCAUUUACAACAGUUAUUAAUUUGUUGUAUUACUUAGAGGGGGUGAAUGAAUUGAAAGCACUAUGGAGGUAAGCUUUUUAGUCUUUUCACCUUAUCCUUUUUAUACAUAAUGUCUCCAUCAAUGAUGUUCAGUAUAUUCCUUAUUUUUGUUUUACUCAAGUGUUCCUGUAUUGUAGCCCUCUCAAGACUCUUCCUCUUCACUCCAAACAAGUUAAUUGUCUUCAUAUCAAAGUAACAUAAGUUGAUUUUCUUAGAGGGCUAAUGCUACUUAUGUGAUUAUUUCUUUUACAAAAGUUGCAAAUAGUACUAUUUGAGGAUUCCUUGACAAAAUAAUUUUUAAAUUUUAAUUUUUUUAUUUUUUAUUUUUAUAGAGCUUGUAUCCUAAUCCCUUUAUGCCAAAGAUUAUUUUUUUACUUGCCAAAAUUAUCAAAAUUCUUGUCCCCAUUUGAGAAUUUUGAAAGAGAAGAGAUUAACUAAUGAAUUUUCUUUUCAAGUAAGUAUAUAUUUUAUUCCAAGGAAAACCUUAGCCUUUUUCAGAUAUUUUAAACUCCCAUUUUAAGUUAUUAAUUUCAACUUGAAGAGAGAUGAUUUUCUUUUUAAGAUAAGCCUGAAAGUUAUUUGAUCUAGUUUAGGUAACACCUAGAGGAGUUGAAUGGGUGUUUAAAAUUUUCUGCUUAAAAAUGAAUUAUUUUAUAAUCAUAUAACAAACAUUUUUUCAAUUUAGGAAAGCCUAAAAACACUCAAUACAAAAACAUAAGAUUUUUAUAUGGAAAACCACCCAUAUCAUGUGCGGAUGUAAAAACGACAAAGUCAGACUUUUAAUCAUUAAUUAACUAUUUGAAAGUAUUAUACAUGGUUUUAGUUGGUGGAAGCUAUCGUUAAGUCUUAUUACCCAACACCUACAAUGCACUUCACAUUUGCGAUAUAGCACUACAUGUGCUCUUAGUGGAUCUAACCUCAGUGCUUGAGAGGAUGUAGAUCUCCUUUUCAAUCCAACAUAAGCGAAAACAACAUUCCUUAAGAGUUUUAGGAAUAAGAUGACGAAUUUGGUUUUUCAAAAAAUUUGCAUCAAACCAAAAACCUUUUUAGGUAAAACAUUUAUAGGCAUAAGAAGCUAGCGGACUGGAUCUACAAUUUUCCAAAAUAAGACCUUAAAAAAAUUUAGAAAAUCAAAGUUCCAAAAACUUUGGAGAAUUCUAUCAUGGGUGUUUGAGUGCUCAUGGGAGCACUUGAGUGCUUAUGGAGAUUUUUUAAACUUUUUAAAAAUUCUUUUAGCUCAGUUUUAAAACCCUUAGUUCGCACUAUGCCUUAACAAACACCAAUUUGUCAUUCUUGAACCUUUUGAUUUUUAGUUGUGCCAUCUCGAUUGAUCACAUAACAACUUUGAGUCUUCAAUGAAGAGUAAAACACAAUUAGAAAGAUUCUAAACUAGAAUGAAAGGAACAAAAUUGUUGAUCUUAAAUUAUAUAGCCUAAUAUACCAACAAUCUCCUAUGAUAAUUUUAUGAAAAAAAAUACAAAUUACAUAAACCCCCUAAUACUCUUUAAUGGAGUUUAAGAAUUUCUCAAUAACUCUCGUCUAAACCAAAUCAUUCUUGAACAUACAGAUGAUGAUAAAUCACAUCUAAAAGUGGGCAAUACCCCACUACUUGUGACCUGCACACACAAACCAACCAAGUACCCAAGUAAAACAAUGUGUGAGAGAAAACACAACUCAAAUUCUAUCAAAUCAAGGUAAGAGUAGAUGGAUGUGAGUCAUGCAUACAAUGGAUAUCUAAUCAAUAGUAUCAAUAAAUUGUCUCCCCGUUUUUGUCGCAAAAAUGACAAAGAAGGAAUAAACAAUGAAUGCACAUAAGAGAAAGAGAAAUAAUUAAGCAAAAGAACUUCAACUUAUUUUUAGAAUGCUUCUUUCUUGGUAAGAUCUCUUAAGAAACCCUUCUUGAAAAUAGAAUUUUUUUUUUGUUUUGUUUUUUAUGAUGGAAAAUUGCUUUCUACCUUAAAAACUAUAUUUGGUAAAAUUUCACUAAAAUAAGUUUUUGAAAAUAGGUUAUUUUUUUGGAACAAAAGCUUUUAAAUAUCUAUAUAUAUAUAUAUAUAUAUUGUAGAAUAUUUCAAGAAAUAGUUGAAAAUAUGAAAAAUGUUUCGAGAACCUUUGUAUUUUAGAUUUGUGCACUUCAAUUUCAUGAACAAUAUUAAACUAAGAAAACUGUUUUUUAUAUACUAAUUUCUAAAUAAAAUUUUGUUGCUGGAAAUAACUAAAAUUUAUUUUAAAAAACUAUUUUUUAAGAAUUAUUUUUGAAAACGUUGCUAAAAAGACAAAAGUCCUUGGUCAUUUUUUUUUUCUUUUAUAUUUUUAUCUUUAUGUAAGAGGCCGGUCUUUUUUUUUUUUUUAAUGUUCCAUAAUCCUUGUGAUAUUGUAACGUGUAAUUCAUUUAUUUGACUUCAAAAGUUAAGAAAUAAUGAACCUUUCAUUAUUGUAGUUUGUCUUGUAGUAAGAGACUUAAAAAUCCAUGUACAAGAGGUCUUCGUUUCUUAAGUCAAGUCAACAAAAUGGAGGUGGAAGAAAUAAUGAACUUUCAUUAUUGUAGUUUGUCUUGCUAAAAGCCAUGUAUAACGGGUCUUCUUUUCUUAAGUCAAGUCAAUAAAUCAAAUUAAAAGAAAUAAUAAACUUUUAUUAUUGUAUUUUAUUUUGUAGCAAGAGACUUAAAAAACCAUGUAUAACAAGUCUUCCUUUCUUAAGUCAAGUCAAUAAAUCAAAUUAAAAGAAAUAAUAAAUUUUCAUUAUUGUACUUUGUUCUUGUAGCAAGAGACUUAAAAAUCCAUGUAAGAGGUCUUCAUUUCUUAAGUCAAGUCAAGUCAAUAAAUCGAAUCGGAAGUUUUUCCUUUUUUUUUUUUUUAAACCAACUUCUACUAUUACUUUUAUUAGUUAUUUUGAUCAUUUGAUUAAAUAUUGAAUUAUUAUUAUUUUUUAAAAAUUUUCAAGUACAAACCAUUUCAUGUUAAAAAAUUUAAAGUGGAUGUAACUUUCUUUUCAAGUUAAGAUAUCUUGAUUAAGGGAUAAAUAAUGGAUUGCAAUAUUUCAACUUUAAUUAAGUUAAUUUAUCAAUAUUCAAAUUAAGUUGGAGAAAAAAAAAAAAAAAAAGACAACACCUCAAUUUUAGUUUUCCAUUACACAUGAUUAUUUCUUUUUCUUCUUUUUCCUUUGCUUCUUUAACACGCAAUGAGAGCUCUAGUCAUCAUACCUUUCAAGACUCUAAACUUACAAAAAUUUUCAGUCUUUUCAUCGUAUCUUUUAAAAUUCUUGACACUCAUAAAGUAUUUAAGACUUAAUUUUAAUAAAUUCAUAUUUUUACAACUAUAACUAAGAGCUUUGACCUAUUAAAAAAAUGAAUAAAAAAUACUUUGCAAGACAUUAAAAGUUCAUAAUUAUUUCUUUUACCUUAAAUGUAGUUGUUAUGUGUUUGCUAGUUCACAUAUUUGAGCGUGGACCGUGGCGACCUGCAGACCCGGAGGGGCAGCGUUGUCUAUCAGAUUUUAGAAAAUUCGUGCAACUAGCCAUAUGGUUUUGGACUAAAAUAAAAAAUAAGACUUUAUUUUUGUUAUUUCUUUUAUCAAGAUAUCUUAAUUAAUAAUUCAAAAAUGUUAAUAAUAAAUUAUAAAAGAGAUUUUUGCUACUCUUCGAAAUUAUAAAAAAGUUUAUACACUCAUAAAACAAAUAAUUAAAUGUAUCUUCUAAUAAAUAAAUUUUUAUUAAAAUAAAUAAAUAUAUAUCUACUUUGACUUUAUUAACAUGAAGUAAAUUGUAGGUAUCUUUAAGUUAGAUUUCUUAUUGAUUAAAGAAAAAGACCAUUCAAGGUUUAGCUAGAUGGAAAAAAAAAUUUUAUUUAUUAGAAAAUUCAAUUUUUUUUAUUGAUGAAUCAUUGAUAAUGAUAUAUAAAAAUAAUUUAUAUAUCAUAUAUUAAUAUUACUUUAUAAAUAUUUUUUAGUUUUUCUUUUUUAAUCAUAAAUUUAAUUUAUAAUUAAAAAAAUUAUUUUAUAAAAAAAAAAAAAUUUAUGAUAUAUCGGAUAUACAUAUCUUAUAUCUUAGUAUAAAAUUAACAUAUCUCGUGUAAAAAAAAAUAAAAAAGAGUGAAUAAUAUAUUUCACCACUUAUACUAUCUCAUCAUUAAUUAAAUAUAAAAUUUAAUGUGAUAUCUUCUCUUUUAUCCUAUAUGAUGUUAUAUUUGGUCAAUCAAACAUAACCUAUAAAACUAAAAUUAUAGAAAUGAAAUGCAAGAGACCUUACUGAAAAAUUGAAAGUAAAAUUAUUGAUUUUUGAAAGUAAAUAUUGAUAAUAUUAUAAAAUUUUCAUUAACAUAAAUUAAAAAAUUAAAGGAAAAAAAAACAUAACACUAUCCUCACAAUUCCGUGAUAUUGUUUUUUUCAUAUUAGAAAUCCUUAUAAUCAACUUUCCUGUUUUAAAAAUAAUUUUUAUUACUAAUUUAGAUUAAAAAAAAAAAAAAAAAACCUUUCAACCAACCACACAUGUGACACAUGGUGGUUGUUUUUGAAUUUCAAUAAAAGAUUUUAUAAUUAUUAAGAAAAGAAAAAAAUGUUAAGAAAAAUGAUUAUUUUUAUUUGAUUUUAUUAUGAAAUAUAUGAAAGUAAAAAUAUAUAAUUAAAAUUAAUAAAAAACUAAUAUAUUUUAAAAUUAUUUAAUUUUUAUUUUUAAAAAUUAAAUAAAUAAAAUAAAAUUAAAAAUAAUUUAUUAAUUUUAAAUUUAUUUUUUAUUUCUCUCUCACUUGUUCUUUAAGACGUGUUGCGUGUAAAAUACCAUAAAACAAGUCAUAUCACCAUGCUCAAGAUUUCAACAUGGUAGGUGUAGGUUUUGAAGACUUUUCCAUGUGAUUAACACUUGGAUACCUGAAUUUUCUUUGGGUGGGGUUGGGCUUCUGUAAGUUUCUCUGCAAUUUUCUCCUACUUGGAAACAAAGGAAUGGUCAAAGAGAGGAACUCAGUGAAGAGAAGAUUGAAACGGACUGGAUACACCCUCGCCUGCUUCGAAGGUUGGUAUGAUCUUCACGGUUGGUAGGCCUUCUCAAGUCUCCAUGCAUGCCUCAUUUUUCCCAUAUGAUAAAUCAAUGGUCGGAAGAGCGAGCUUAACACGAACAAACAUGAUAAAAUCAUUAAAUUUUUGGAAUAAUAAUAUGAUGAAGUUAAUAAAUGAUAAGGAUUAGGAAGAUGUUUAAUGAAAUUUUAAAUUAAUAAUAAUUAGAUGUAUUUAACCUAAACUUUUGGAGAGAUUAAUGAAAUUAAUCAUAUAAAAAUUUCUUUAAUUUUAAUUUUAGAAUAAAUAUUAACAAUAUUUUUUUCAAAUAUAAAUAAUAAUAUUUGGAAAACAUCAUCAGUAAAUUGCCUUUUCAAUUUUUUCUCUAAUUGUCAUUUUAAAUGAAUAUUAAAAUCCUUUUAGUAAAAUUUAUGAAUUUAGUAAAAUAUUAAUAUCUAUAUUUUAUAAUUUUUAAUAAAGUUUUAUCAUUUUUAAUAUAAAAAAAAUUAUAUAAGUUGUGUUUGUCUUAUUAGUAUCACUAUUUACAAAAUUUAUCUUUAUAUUAUUUAUUUUAAAAAUUAUUAUUUAUUAAGAAUCAUUUUUAUAAAAGGUAAAACAUAAUUAUCAUAUAAAUAUAAAUUAAAAGUGGAGGUUAUAUUUGUUAAUUAUUUUUAAAAAGGGAUUUCAAAACAUUACUUCUCCAAAAAUAACAAUAAUAAUAAUAUAAACACAAUAUUGACUCAAAAUAUUAUGUGAAUGAAAAACUUAAAAAUAAUAUAUAUUUGUUUUUUAAAAAAUAUUUUGUCAUAAUUAAAGGUCAUCUACUCAACAUGUUGGUGGGAAUGGUAUAUAAGUCAAUGCCUGCUUUGCUCACAAAUCAAAAACCAAAACUUGCUAAUCCUUGUUAUUACACACUAUCCUUGCUCUGUGUUGAACAUGGCUACAAGCCCCUUUCGAUAUUUUAUUUCCCUUUUUCUGCUUUUGCUCUGUUUCGAAGCCUGUUUGAGGGUGGGUGAUGCUAAAGUUGGGUGCAGAGAGAGGGAGAGGCAAGCUCUCCUUCACUUCAAACAAGGUGUUGUCGAUGACGAUGGAGUGCUUUCUUCAUGGGGGAAUGGGGAAGACAAAAGAGAUUGUUGCAAAUGGAGAGGAGUCAAGUGUAACAACCAGACGGGUCAUGUGAUCAGGCUUGAUCUUCAUGCCCAAUCUUUGGGAGGUAAGAUUGGUCCUUCAUUGGCAGAGUUGCAGCACUUGAAGCAUUUGAACCUCAGCUCGAAUGAUUUUGAAGGUAAUUAUAUACAUAUAUACCUUGUGAAAAUUCAUCAGUUUGUCUCAGCAGAAUAUAAUUCUCUCUUUUCCCAAUUUUACAGGAAUUCUUCCCACUCAACUCGGUAAUCUUUCCAACUUGCAAUCCCUUGAUCUUGGCUAUAAUUAUGGGGAUAUGACCUGUGGAAACCUUGACUGGCUUUGUCACCUUCCUUUCUUAACACACCUUGACUUGAGUUGGGUUAAUCUUAGUAAAGCAAUCCAUUGGCCCCAAGCAAUUAAUAAAAUGCCUUCCCUAACUGAGUUAUACUUGAUUGAUACUCAGCUUCCUUCGAUUAUUCCAACAAUAUCCAUUUCCCAUAUUAAUUCUUCUACUUCUCUUGCUGUGCUUCAUCUCCCCUCGAAUGGUCUCACUUCUUCAAUAUACCCAUGGUUGUUCAACUUCAGUAGCAGCCUUGUUCAUCUUGACCUCUCUUGGAAUGAUCUAAAUGGUUCAACUCCGGAUGCUUUUGGAAACAUGACUACUCUGGCAUAUCUUGAUCUCUCUUCGAACGAGCUACGUGGUUCAAUUCCGGAUGCUUUUGGAAACAUGACUACUCUGGCAUAUCUUGAUCUCUCUUGGAACAAGCUACGUGGUUCAAUUCCGGAUGCUUUUGGAAACAUGACUAGUCUGGCAUAUCUUGAUCUCUCUUUGAAUGAACUUGAAGGUGAGAUUCCAAAAUCCUUGACAGAUUUAUGUAAUUUACAGGAAUUAUGGUUGUCUCAGAACAAUCUCACUGGACUGAAGGAAAAAGAUUAUCUGGCCUGCCCUAAUAACACAUUAGAGGUUUUAGAUUUAUCUUAUAAUCAAUUGAAAGGGUCAUUUCCCAAUCUUUCUGGAUUUUCACAGUUGAGAGAAUUAUUUCUUGAUUUCAAUCAACUAAAGGGAACUUUACAUGAAAGUAUUGGACAACUAGCUCAACUUCAACUGUUGUCCAUUCCUUCAAAUUCAUUGCGAGGCACUGUCUCCGCAAACCACCUUUUUGGUCUCUCCAACCUGUCUUACUUAGACUUAUCUUUCAACUCCCUUACAUUCAACAUAAGCCUUGAGCAAGUUCCCCAGUUUCGAGCCUCAAGUAUACUAUUGGCCUCUUGCAAAUUAGGCCCACGUUUUCCUAAUUGGCUUCAAACUCAAGAAGUUUUGAGCGAACUUGAUAUCUCUGCUUCUGGAAUUUCAGAUGUCAUUCCCAAUUGGUUUUGGAAUUUAACUUCAGAUUUAAAUUGGUUAAACAUUUCCAACAAUCACAUCUCGGGCACUUUGCCCAAUUUACAAGCAAGGUCUUAUUUGGGAAUGGAUAUGAGUUCAAAUUGCUUGGAAGGUUCAAUACCACAAUCUGUUUUCAAUGCUAGAUGGUUGGAUCUCUCCAAGAACUUGUUUUCAGGCUCAAUUUCUUUAUCGUGUGGGACUCCUAAUCAGCCUAGUUGGGGUUUGUCUCAUCUUGACCUCUCAAAUAAUCGACUAUCAGGAGAACUACCCAAUUGUUGGGAGCAGUGGAAAGAUUUAAUUGUUCUUGAUUUGGCAAAUAAUAAUUUUUCUGGGAAAAUUAAAAAUUCGAUUGGCUUGUUACAUCAGAUGCAAACAUUGCAUUUAUGUAACAAUAGUUUUACUGGAGCACUGCCUUCGUCCUUAAAGAACUGCAGAGCUUUGCGUCUUAUAGAUUUGGGAAAAAAUAAAUUGUCAGGAAAAAUAACCGCAUGGAUGGGAGGAAGCCUGUCAGAUUUGAUCGUUCUCAACCUAAGAUCUAAUGAAUUUAAUGGAAGCAUACCUUCAAGUCUUUGUCAACUGAAACAGAUUCAAAUGUUGGACCUCUCUAGCAACAAUCUAUCAGGAAAGAUACCAAAAUGUCUCAAAAAUUUAACUGCCAUGGCUCAAAAAGGAAGUCCGGUCCUUUCUUACGAAACAAUUUACAAUUUGAGUAUCCCAUAUCACUAUGUUGAUAGUACAUUGGUUCAAUGGAAAGGAAAAGAACAAGAGUACAAGAAAACUCUUAGAUUCAUUAAGAGCAUUGAUUUUUCAAGAAACCAAUUAAUUGGUGAAAUUCCAAUAGAAGUAACUGAUUUGGUAGAAUUGGUGUCUUUGAAUUUAUCAAGAAACAAUUUGAUUGGAUCAAUCCCUACAACAAUUGGUCAAUUGAAAUUAUUGGAUGUUCUUGAUCUAUCUCAAAACCAACUUAAUGGUAGAAUUCCGGAUACUCUUUCUCAAAUAGCCGAUCUAAGUGUUUUAGACCUAUCAAAUAACACCUUGUCAGGUAAAAUUCCAUUAGGCACUCAAUUACAAAGCUUUGAUGCCUCCACAUAUGAGGGAAAUCCUGGACUUUGUGGACCACCUCUUUUGAUAAGGUGUCCUGAAGAUGAACUUGGGGGAGUCUCCUUCACUAGUGGUCUUAGUAGUAAAAAAGAGGACAUUCAAGAUGAUGCAAAUAAUAUAUGGUUUUAUGGAAAUAUUGUUCUUGGAUUCAUCAUCGGAUUUUGGGGAGUUUGCGGCACUUUACUAUUCAAUAGUUCAUGGAGAUAUGCCUAUUUCCAAUUGUUGAGCAAGAUAAAGGAUUGGUUGUACAUGACAACAAUAGUAAAUAUGAAUAGAAUACGAAGGAGCCUGCAAGGUUAAAUGGUAAGACUUCUCAAAUUCUCUUUUUAGUUUUUCUGGUAAAAUGUGUUAACUUCUAUUUAUUAUCCAACAGUUAAGAAUAAAAAGUACACUUUAUGCUACUACUCAAAUCCCUCUUCUAUUAUUUGAUUGACCUUCCACAAUAUAUUGAUGAAAGCUUAGAUUUUGCAAAUAGAAGCAUCGAUAAAAUAAGCAAGCGUAGAAGAUUUUAAUAUACUUUUUUGUAAUAGUUGUGCAUAUUUAGCUUUCAUCAUGUAAAGAUUAAUCUUAUAGGCCGAGGAUCAUAGUUGAAGAAUGAUUAUUUGUAUUUUUAUUUCUAUCUUACUUCAAGUUACAAUUUUUUCUUUUAAAUGUUAAGUUAAUUUGUUGUCUUCAAAUAUUAUAAGUACAUUAAAAGUUCAAUUGUAAGUAACAUACUAAAACCUUCAUUUCUACUAAUCAAGAAGAGUCGCAACUAAGAAAUUAUUCCAAAUUGAUGAGCGUUGUUGCAUUUCAUCUUUGUAUUACAGGACUUCAGCUGGGUUGCAUCUCAAGGAUUAGUAGGUGAUAUAUGCUUUUGAGUAACGGGAGUAUUUAUGAUGGGAUAGUUACAUGCCUUAAUGCAAAAGCUUGUCAUCGGAUAAAUGACAUCAACAUGUAUUAAGUUUGCUUAUUUGGUAGUUAGCUUGGCUUUAAGUUUCUCGUGUUAUAUUCUAUUUAGAACUUUUUAAACAUUAAUUUUUGCUAUUAUAUGUACGACUUUGUAUUUUGUUGCUCUAAAAUUUAUUUGUUAUUUUUGUAGAAUCAAAUAUUAGAGGCCUUUGUAGGGGGUGCUAAAAAAAUACUUCAUCUUAGAAAAAUAUUUUUUUUUUUGCUCAAAAACAAAGUUUAUUUUUUGGGAAAUGCAAUGUGAUAAUACCCAUUAGUAUGAAAUGUGGGAUAUGCUACUACUGAAAACAGAGCACUCUGUUUUUUUGGUGCUCAAGCAUGAAAGCUCCUGUAACACAGAGAGGUCUGAUUUCCAACCGUGAAUCAAAUUGCUUAAGGUACUCCAUAUGCAGAUUGCUGGAAGUCACUUUGGGCAUCAAUCAUCUUCAAGGGACGAUGAUGAUGGGAAUUGGAUCAACGGCGGUAAAGACCAACUAUGGAAAGUUUGCUAAAAAGCUCCCAUUUCUUUAUUUUGGUUUCUGCUUUUGUAAAUAACAAUGUUAUCCAAAAUUUGUGUUGGUUGCUCAAGUUUUGUAAAAGCUAUUCAACCAAUACAAAUCGCUACAUAAUAUGCAUUUUGCCGAAGAUCUGUGAUGAUUUGGAGCUCUCUCCAAUGCCAUACCAGGUUACAACUGAAACAAGCAUCUUAUUUAGGAAUAGUUAACAACAACGAAGAACUGCAAUUUAUAUUUGUGUUUUUUGUUCCACUGAAUAUUGCAGUAAUCAACUUAUGGAAGAAGUUGGAGCUGUUGGAGAAGAAAGUGCUCUUCAUGUUUGCUCAAACAAUUCAGAGGGAAGUUUAGCUUUUGCUUUGGUAGUUGUGAAGUUGCAAACUGUUAUUAGAAUAAGAAGCCUCUACUUUUGCUUGUUACUGAAUAUGAAUUUUUUUUUUAAGAAGUAAAUUUGCUAAUUAUUGUUCUUUUUCUUAGGCACCCAAGAAAAGAGUAUGUACUUUUAGCAAAGACCAAGAGGAAACUAUUAGAGCUUCAUUUGAGCAGUGAGUGCUUAAUUUGUUCUUUUUUGUGGCAUAUGCAUGUAGUCUUAAAUUUGAUUUCCCUCUGCAUAAUUGAUGCUGAAUAUUGUGAUUUUGGAAAGAUUAAUGCUAGUCUCCUUUUCGUCUUUUAAAUUAAAUUAGAUUUGUUUACGUAUAGGUUUAAAGACCAUAAAAGGUGCACCUACAUGAUUGUAAGUGCUCUAGAUGGUGAUGGUACGUUCACAGCUGCCCAAGUUUCCCAUAAGCUCAAGCAACAAUUUGCUUGUGUUCCUCAUCAAAAAAAGAGUUGAAGACAACUUGCAUUUGAGAGAUGAAGAUCUUAAUGGUUGUGAUAUAGCCAAAGCACAGGAUUCCAAUGAUGAAACAUUGUUUUCACUAAGAAAAAGGUAACUAUAUCUUUAUGAAUUUCAUGCAAUUUUGUGAAUUAAUCUUAUUUGUGUGAUAUCCCACAUCGAAUGAGGGGAAAACUAUUAUAUAUACAUAUAUAGGUUCUCUUAGACACGUUUUAAAACUCAUGAGGGCCCCUUAAGCCCAUAAUAGAUAAUAACUACAUAGUUAGCAGUGGAUCGUUAUAGCUUGUAUGCAAACUUUAUCACAUACUUGCAUCUUUGUGGUUGCAGACUUGUAGUGUAUUUGCAUUUGCUUGCAUUUGUCAAGUACUAUACUUUGGUGAUGAAAUCAUAAAUUCAUGACACUCAAGACUUAAUCCAAUUGACAUGUUUUUUUUUUUACUAAAUACAAUAACUAAUUCUUAAGUUAUAAAUUAUAUCACCAAAUUAUUUUUUUACAAUAUAUAGUUUAUUUCAAAUUUUAUUUUAUUUUUCUUCACCUCUUAGGUUUAUCACUUUACAUUACAAAAUAAAAUAAAUUGCAAUUUCCCUUUUCACAAGAUUUUUAUUUUUACAAAAUAUUCAAUAUUUUCCAACUUUUAUAAAAUAAUUUCCGAAAUUAUAUAAUCGGCUGUUAUAAAGAUUUUAAAUUUUUGUGUUGUCAUGGGAUUAUUUUGUUGGCAUGCUUGACCCAGUUGGUAACUUAGGUUUUUUUUUUUUUUUUAAUUCGCCUGACCUUCACAUGUGGCCUAUUACCAUUGGUGGAAAAUUGUGGGUAAGGUGAGAUUUCGGUACCCAAGCUUGACCAUAUAUAUCUGUGAAUUACGCAGAAGACUCGAAAAGUCAAAGGAAAAAUCCUGGGAACCAAGCUGGAAAACACAGGACUGUUAUUUCAGGGAAGGUGUACGUUUGGGGGCAUAUUACAGCUUGGGUACUGAACAAGAGGCAUGUAAGAAGUCUGGCCAUGGAUGCAGAAGAAGAAAAGCAAAGUAAAACCCACAUCCAUGGACAGUUGGUAGAGAUAAACCACAAUCAGGAGAAACGAAUACGCCACGAAGAAACAAAGGCACAGAAUCUGACAACUGGGUUUGCGGUCGUCCAAGUUUUAAUUCUCAACACACUGGUGAUCAACAAGCCAUCCGGCAGAUGCGAACACUGGUGGGUGCCAUUCUCUCUCUCCUUAUCAGUCGGUGUGAUUUAUUUCGUCACCAUUUUUGAGGUAGUGAAGAAAUGCUACCUUCUGCUCUACCAUUUGGACGUCAACUACAUGGAGCAAGAAGCCAUUCUUCUGGAAAUGCAUGGGGGUGCUUCGUCCCGGCGACAUGAUCAGCCAUUGAAGCCAGAUGUGGUGAAGCUCCUGAGGCGUAAAGCUUAUAUCACGAUACUGAUUUCUGCCAUGCUCGC
This 22332-nucleotide long non-coding RNA is filed under the name Vitis vinifera (wine grape). Its description in RNAcentral is "long non-coding RNA (VVIN_LNC005534)". Lineage: Eukaryota; Viridiplantae; Streptophyta; Magnoliopsida; Vitales; Vitaceae. The record is from RNAcentral.